RNAcentral lists this ribosomal RNA (627 nucleotides) under uncultured bacterium. Its description in RNAcentral is "bacterial SSU rRNA". It matches the Rfam family "Bacterial small subunit ribosomal RNA", at positions 866 to 1502 of the family's 1533-position model. The record is from RNAcentral.
AAUCCACCUGGGGAGUACGUUCGCAAGAAUGAAACUCAAAGGAAUUGACGGGGGCCCGCACAAGCGGAGGAACAUGUGGUUUAAUUCGAUGAUACGCGAGGAACCUUACCUGGACUUAAAUGUAUAUUGACCGGUUUAGAAAUAGAUCUUUCCUUCGGGACAAUUUACAAGGUGCUGCAUGGUUGUCGUCAGCUCGUGCCGUGAGGUGUCGGGUUAAGUCCCAUAACGAGCGCAACCCCUAUCGUUAGCUGCUAGCAGGUAAUGCUGAGGACUCUAGCGAGACUGCCACCGUAAGGUGAGAGGAAGGUGGGGAUGACGUCAAAUCAGCACGGCCCUUACGUCCAGAGCUACAUACGUGUUACAAUGGCCAGUACAAAGGGCAGCUACCAGGCGACUGGAUGCUAAUCUCAAAAGCUGGUCUCAGUUCGGAUCGGAGUCUGCAACUCGACUCCGUGAGGUUGGAUUCGCUAGUAAUCGUAGAUCAGCAACGCUACGGUGAAUACGUUCCCGGGCCUUGUACACACCGCCCGUCAAGCCAUGGAAGCCGAGGGGACCUGAAGUUCGUAACCGCAAGGAGCGACCUAGGGUAAAAUUGGUAACUAGGGCUAAGUCGUAACAAGGUAGCCG